AAUUUUGAGAGUUUGAUCCUGGCUCAGAACGAACGCUGGCGGCGUGGAUUAGGCAUGCAAGUCGUACGGUCCAGCACUAAUUUUCGCAAGAAAAUUAGUGCUGGGUAGUGGCAAAAGGGUGAGUAAUGAAUGAGUAACCUGCCUUUGAGUUUGGAAUAACUCCGAGAAAUCGGGGCUAAUACCAAAUAUUGUCCCUUGGCAUAUCGUCAGGUGAUGAAAGGUGGCUUAAUUCCGAGCAAUCGGGAUGCUAUCGCUCAAAGAGGGGCUCAUUUCCUAUUAGCUUGUUGGUAGGGUAAUGGCCUACCAAGGCGAUGAUGGGUAGCUGGUCUGAGAGGAUGGUCAGCCACACUGGGACUGAGACACUGCCCAGACUCCUACGGGAGGCUGCAGUCGAGAAUCUUUCGCAAUGCCCGCAAGGGUGACGAAGCGACGC
Molecule: non-coding RNA, 433 nt
Organism: Candidatus Omnitrophica bacterium 4484_213
Lineage: Bacteria; Pseudomonadati; Candidatus Omnitrophota
Source: Rfam